RNAcentral lists this ribosomal RNA (506 nucleotides) under Sutcliffiella tianshenii. Its description in RNAcentral is "bacterial SSU rRNA". It matches the Rfam family "Bacterial small subunit ribosomal RNA", at positions 35 to 524 of the family's 1533-position model. The record is from RNAcentral. Lineage: Bacteria; Bacillati; Bacillota; Bacilli; Caryophanales; Bacillaceae.
UAGCGGGGGGCGUGCUAUACAUGCAAGUCGAGCGGAUGAUGAGGAGCUUGCUCCUCUGAUUCAGCGGCGGACGGGUGAGUAACACGUGGGCAACCUGCCCUUGAGACUGGGAUAACUUCGGGAAACCGGAGCUAAUACCGGAUAAUAUUUGGAACCUCCUGGUUCCUUAUUGAAAGAUGGUUUCGGCUAUCACUCAAGGAUGGGCCCGCGGCGCAUUAGCUAGUUGGUGAGGUAACGGCUCACCAAGGCGACGAUGCGUAGCCGACCUGAGAGGGUGAUCGGCCACACUGGGACUGAGACACGGCCCAGACUCCUACGGGAGGCAGCAGUAGGGAAUCUUCCACAAUGGACGAAAGUCUGAUGGAGCAACGCCGCGUGAGUGAUGAAGGCCUUCGGGUCGUAAAGCUCUGUUGUUAGGGAAGAACAAGUGCGAGAGUAACUGCUCGCACCUUGACGGUACCUAACCAGAAAGCCACGGCUAACUACGUGCCAGCAGCCGCGGUAAU